UACGUAGGGUGCGAGCGUUAAUCGGAUUUACUGGGCGUAAAGCGUGCGCAGGCGGCCCGUUAAGACAGGUGUGAAAUCCCUGGGCUCAACCUAGGAAUUGCGCUUGUGACUGGCGGGCUCGAGUACGGUAGAGGGGGGUGGAAUUCCCGGUGUAGCGGUGAAAUGCGUAGAGAUCAGGAGGAACACCGAUGGCGAAGGCAGCCCCCUGGGCCUGUACUGACGCUCAUGCACGAAAGCGUGGGGAGCAAACAGG
RNAcentral lists this ribosomal RNA (253 nucleotides) under uncultured microorganism. Its description in RNAcentral is "partial 16S ribosomal RNA". It matches the Rfam family "Bacterial small subunit ribosomal RNA", at positions 524 to 776 of the family's 1533-position model. The record is from RNAcentral.